GACAGGGUUACUCUGAGUGAUUUCCGUUAAGGAGAUCUUUUGGCACCUCUAAAAAUGGUGCAGAAUAAGGGGUGGGCAAGUCUGGUGUCAGCCGCCGCGGUAAUACCAGCACCCCGAGUGGUCGGGACGUUUAUUGGGCCUAAAGCAUCCGUAGCCGGUUCUACAAGUCUUCCGUUAAAUCCACCUGCUUAACAGAUGGGCUGCGGAAGAUACUAUAGAGCUAGGAGGCGGGAGAGGCAAGCGGUACUCGAUGGGUAGGGGUAAAAUCCGUUGAUCCAUUGAAGACCACCAGUGGCGAAGGCGGCUUGCCAGAACGCGCUCGACGGUGAGGGAUGAAAGCUGGGGGAGCAAACCGGAUUAGAUACCCGGGUAGUCCCAGCUGUAAACGAUGCAGACUCGGUGAUGAGUUGGCUUAUUGCUAACUCAGUGCCGCAGGGAAGCCGUUAAGUUUGCCGCCUGGGGAGUACGGUCGCAAGACUGAAACUUAAAGGAAUUGGCGGGGGAGCACCACAAGGGGUGAAGCCUGCGGUUCAAUUGGAGUCAACGCCGGAAAUCUUACCGGGGGCGACAGCAGAGUGAAGGUCAAGCUGAAGACUUUACCAGACAAGCUGAGAGGAGGUGCAUGGCCGUCGCCAGCUCGUGCCGUGAGGUGUCCUGUUAAGUCAGGUAACGAGCGAGAUCCCUGCCUCUAGUUGCUACCAUUAUUCUCAGGAGUAGUGGAGCUAAUUAGAGGGACCGCCGUCGCUGAGACGGAGGAAGGUGGGGGCUACGGCAGGUCAGUAUGCCCCGAAACCCUCGGGCCACACGCGGGCUGCAAUGGUAAGGACAAUGAGUUUCGAUUCCGAAAGGAGGAGGCAAUCUCUAAACCUUACCACAGUUAUGAUUGAGGGCUGAAACUCGCCCUCAUGAAUAUG
RNAcentral lists this ribosomal RNA (914 nucleotides) under uncultured crenarchaeote. RNAcentral describes it as "bacterial SSU rRNA". It matches the Rfam family "Archaeal small subunit ribosomal RNA", at positions 369 to 1284 of the family's 1478-position model. The record is from RNAcentral. Lineage: Archaea; Thermoproteati; Thermoproteota.